AAUGACGGUAGCGUGAGAAGAAGCCCCGGCUAACUUCGUGCCAGCAGCCGCGGUAAUACGAAGGGUGCAAGCGUUACUCGGAAUUACUGGGCGUAAAGCGUGCGUAGGUGGUGGUUUAAGUCUGUUGUGAAAGCCCUGGGCUCAACCUGGGAAUUGCAGUGGAUACUGGGUCACUAGAGUGUGGUAGAGGGUAGCGGAAUUCCCGGUGUAGCAGUGAAAUGCGCAGA
RNAcentral lists this ribosomal RNA (227 nucleotides) under Mucochytrium quahogii. Its description in RNAcentral is "labyrinthulid quahog parasite QPX partial Bacterial small subunit ribosomal RNA". It matches the Rfam family "Bacterial small subunit ribosomal RNA", at positions 468 to 694 of the family's 1533-position model. Lineage: Eukaryota; Bigyra; Thraustochytrida; Thraustochytriidae. The record is from RNAcentral.